UUUCCGUCUUAAUCGGAUCGGGCUUUUCCCAGAAAUCUGGUGGUCCCAACUCCUUGAACUGCUUGGCUGUGACAGACCGCGCGUUACCAUCAUUUUCACUCGUAUUUUGUACACGAGUCUCCCUCGUCUGAUUUUGCAUGAACUGCAAAAAGCUUCUAAACAUUCCAUCGUUCAUCAUUUGCUCGGUAGUGUUGUUUAUAGGAGGAAUAUUGCCUUCCUGUUGCACGUUCUCCUGGUUUGUAACUAAAGGUUGUUCCACAGUCUCAUAAACUCCAUUAUUAACGUUCUCAGCAGCCAUUCUUAAAUACUGUCAUAAAACAAGGGUUAAUUAAACAAAUUAACAUAUCACAUAAUAUCCCUAUAUUAUGACCAACCAACAAAUAAACUUAGAUAGGACACACUAGCGAAUGAUUUACUCAUCUCUCCUCUCCUAGUUCUAUUCCCCGAUCUCUGUCAGAGACCAUAUCCCUAAGCUUUGAUACCAACUGUGACGCCCCCAAAAUAGGUAUACAACACUCAUUUUGAGUCGCCAAAUACAUGGUACAUAAAGCAAAUUACAACUUCAAUAAUACAAAUGUCAUGUGAAAUACGAC
Molecule: long non-coding RNA, 593 nt
Filed under: Panax ginseng (ginseng)
Lineage: Eukaryota; Viridiplantae; Streptophyta; Magnoliopsida; Apiales; Araliaceae
Description: long non-coding RNA (PGIN_LNC003269)
Source: RNAcentral